This 253-nucleotide ribosomal RNA is filed under the name uncultured bacterium. RNAcentral's name for it is "partial 16S ribosomal RNA". It matches the Rfam family "Bacterial small subunit ribosomal RNA", at positions 524 to 776 of the family's 1533-position model. The record is from RNAcentral.
UACGUAGGGUGCAAGCGUUGUCCGGAAUUAUUGGGCGUAAAGAGCUCGUAGGCGGUCUGUCACGUCGGCUGUGAAAACCCGAGGCUCAACCUCGGGCCUGCAGUCGAUACGGGCAAACUAGAGUACUGCAGGGGAGACUGGAAUUCCUGGUGUAGCGGUGAAAUGCGCAGAUAUCAGGAGGGACACCGGUGGCGAAGGCGGGUCUCUGGGCAGUAACUGACGCUGAGGAGCGAAAGCGUGGGGAGCGAACAGG